RNAcentral lists this ribosomal RNA (528 nucleotides) under uncultured bacterium. Its description in RNAcentral is "bacterial SSU rRNA". It matches the Rfam family "Bacterial small subunit ribosomal RNA", at positions 791 to 1320 of the family's 1533-position model. The record is from RNAcentral.
UAGUCCACGCCGUAAACGAUGUCAACUAGCCGUUGGGAAUUUUACAUUCUUAGUGGCGUAGCUAACGCGCUAAGUUGACCGCCUGGGGAGUACGGACGCAAGUUUAAAACUCAAAUGAAUUGACGGGGGCCCGCACAAGCGGUGGAGCAUGUGGUUUAAUUCGAUGCAACGCGAAGAACCUUACCAAUCCUUGACAUCCACGGAAUCCUUUAGAGAUAAAGGAGUGCCUUCGGGAACCGUGAGACAGGUGCUGCAUGGCUGUCGUCAGCUCGUGUUGUGAAAUGUUGGGUUAAGUCCCGUAACGAGCGCAACCCCUAUCCUUAGUUGCUACCAUUAAGUUGAGGACUCUAAGGAGACUGCUGGUGACAAACCGGAGGAAGGUGGGGACGACGUCAAGUCAUCAUGGCCCUUACGGAUUGGGCUACACACGUGCUACAAUGGGGUAUACAGAGGGUUGCGAAGCUGCGAAGUGGAGCGAAUCCCAGAAAGUACCUCGUAGUCCGGAUUGGAGUCUGCAACUCGACUCCA